This 165-nucleotide small RNA is filed under the name Arabidopsis thaliana (thale cress). RNAcentral's name for it is "ATSL083550". Lineage: Eukaryota; Viridiplantae; Streptophyta; Magnoliopsida; Brassicales; Brassicaceae. The record is from RNAcentral.
CUUAUAAAACCGCAUUAAAACUUUUUAAAAUGCCUUGUAAAUACCUAAUAAAUAUUAAUGGCUUGUAAUAUAUGUUAUUUUAUAUAUCUACAUAUACAUUUUUGCAGCCAUUUUGUGAAAUAAAUCAUAGAGUUGGAACUUAUUUACAAAGAAUGCCAUUAGCAU